GGUAGGGUGGCCGAGCGGUCUAAGGCACUGUAUUAAGACUCCAGUCUCUUCAGAGGCAUGGGUUUGAAUCCCACUGCUGCCA
Molecule: transfer RNA, 82 nt
Organism: Homo sapiens (human)
Lineage: Eukaryota; Metazoa; Chordata; Mammalia; Primates; Hominidae
Rfam family: tRNA
About the family: Transfer RNA (tRNA) molecules are approximately 80 nucleotides in length.
Source: Rfam